Molecule: unclassified non-coding RNA, 240 nt
Filed under: Hevea brasiliensis (rubber tree)
Lineage: Eukaryota; Viridiplantae; Streptophyta; Magnoliopsida; Malpighiales; Euphorbiaceae
Source: RNAcentral
GCAUACCUUGGACUGACUGGUAAAAGAAUUUCAUCGCCAUCUGAUGCACUAUAUGUUGGUCUUGGAACGCAUUACGUUCCAUCUGGGAACUUAGGCUCACUGAAAGAAGGACUCUUGACUGCUGAAUUUUCUGAGGAUCCUCAUCAGGAUAUAAAUACACUCCUAGCAAAAUACAGUAGUGACCCUGAGUCUCCACCAUCAUUGAAGUCACUCUUAUCUCAGAUAACAUCAUCCUUUGGC